AUUGAACGCUGGCGGCAGGCCUAACACAUGCAAGUCGAGCGGCAGCGGGAAAGUAGCUUGCUACUUUUGCCGGCGAGCGGCGGACGGGUGAGUAAUGCCUGGGAAAUUGCCCAGUCGAGGGGGAUAACAGUUGGAAACGACUGCUAAUACCGCAUACGCCCUACGGGGGAAAGCAGGGGACCUUCGGGCCUUGCGCGAUUGGAUAUGCCCGGGUGGGAUUAGCUAGUUGGUGAGGUAAUGGCUCACCAAGGCGACGAUCCCUAGCUGGUCUGAGAGGAGGAUCCGCAACACUGGAACUGAGACACGGUCCAGAAUGCUACGGGAGGCAGCAGUGGGGAAUAUUGCACAAUGGGGGAAACCCUGAUGCAGCCAUGCCGCGUGUGUGAAGAAGGCCUUCGGGUUGUAAAGCACUUUCAGCGAGGAGGAAAGGUUGAUGCCUAAUACGUAUCAACUGUGACGUUACUCGCAGAAGAAGCACCGGCUAACUCCGUGCCAGCCGCCGCCGUAA
RNAcentral lists this ribosomal RNA (508 nucleotides) under uncultured bacterium. RNAcentral describes it as "partial 16S ribosomal RNA". It matches the Rfam family "Bacterial small subunit ribosomal RNA", at positions 30 to 523 of the family's 1533-position model. The record is from RNAcentral.